GAAACAGAAACUUGGAUCUGCAAGAAGGAGUGGAGAGCAGCAGAAGUGAUCAUUCAUUCAGGACAUGCUGCAUCUGGGGUUGGCAUCAUUUCCCUUUUGAAUGACAGAAUGUGCAUAAAAGUCUCUUGCCCACGCUGAACUCACACGUGCCCGGCAGGAAGGAGCUCUCACGAAGUGCCAGCUGGAUGUGAGCUUGCUCUGGCAGCAGCAGUGCUGUCCUUGUUUCUGAGCUGCCACCUAUUCACUGGAGUUAGGUGGGUCAAAGCUGAAAUUUAGCUUGGAAUUUAAGUUUCUAAUUUUAUACUUUUCAUUGUGGUCUGGUCAGAUUUUAGUCUGCUUCAAAAUCAAAAGGUCACUCAGUCACUCUAAUAUGAUCAUUUUGAAUAUGGAAAUUUGUUAUUUACAUGCUGUACCUCAAAUCAAAGAAAAAGCACGCGUCAAUAUCACGCGUAGGAAAAACUAGAAAAUUGUUCCUUUUCCAUUUUGCCACCCUGCUCAGUUUUCCUCAUAAACGGUUCCAGCUUGGAAAACAAGAGCUUCCCCUCUCAGACAGAUGCAGCAGCGGGAGGAAGGGCUUUGGUCUUAAACUAGAAGCUGCAGCUGAAACUCUCCCCGUCUAAUCCUGCUGUGUGUAUGGCUCACACCAUCUUUCCUGAGUGGGGAAAACCGCUGGCACUGAAUAGCUGAAAGGCUCGCUGAAAUCUGUGCUUCAAGAACGAGUUAAAGACAAUACAAUAAAACACAUAGACACUGAAGGGGUUCAACUAAUGUCCAUCACUUAUUCUGCUAAUGUCAGUGCCUUUCAAUAAACUUCUCAACAUCUGUGUUGGUAAACUUCUCAAUAUUUGUUCUAGCCCAACCACGGUGACAAAGCUCCCUUGCCCAAAGAUCGUGAGCCUAGACAAAGGUGGAUAAGAAAUAUGAAGUCUAAAGCUAUAGAAUAUAGCAGUUAGUGAAGUAAAUUAAACAUGCCCCUCGCCUGCAUGCUGAUCAGAGUGUUGAAACUGAAGACGACAUUGGCAAAGUGACUCAGACCCACAGCACAGAUUUGAUCAAGGGCACAGCUCAUAAAAAUAGCAACAAUUUCGAAUUCUCCUAUCCAACGUUUAGGAAACAAUCCAAUGGCAAGAAAUGAGAGGAGUUCAAUGCCAACAGUUUGACCUGUGGGCAAUCAACCUAUAAGUCCUCAA
Molecule: long non-coding RNA, 1190 nt
Filed under: Homo sapiens (human)
Lineage: Eukaryota; Metazoa; Chordata; Mammalia; Primates; Hominidae
Description: non-protein coding lnc-ESCO2-1:2
Source: RNAcentral